UUACGGGAGGCAGCAGCGAGGAAUAUUGCGCAAUGGGCGAAAGCCUGACGCAGUAACGCCGCGUGCGGGAAGAAGGCCUUCGGGUCGUAAACCGCUUUUCGGAGGGACGAGGAAGGACGGUACCUCUGGAAUAAGUCUCGGCUAACUACGUGCCAGCAGCCGCGGUAAGACGUAGGAGGCGAGCGUUAUCCGGAUUCACUGGGCGUAAAGCGCGUGUAGGCGGUUCGGCAAGUCGGUUGUGAAAGCCCCUGGCUCAACUGGGGGAGGUCAGCCGAAACUGCGGGACUGGAGGGUCAGAGAGGAAGGUGGAAUUCCCGGUGUAGCGGUGGAAUGCGUAGAGAUCGGGAGGAACACCAGUGGCGAAAGCGGCCUUCUGGCUGACCACUGACGCUGAGACGCGAAAGCGUGGGUAGCAAACGGGAUUAGAUACCCUGGUAGU
RNAcentral lists this ribosomal RNA (439 nucleotides) under uncultured bacterium. Its description in RNAcentral is "bacterial SSU rRNA". It matches the Rfam family "Bacterial small subunit ribosomal RNA", at positions 339 to 794 of the family's 1533-position model. The record is from RNAcentral.